AUGGUGAUAGGUGAUAUAAAUGAAAUUCUAUAUGCUUUUGAGAAGGAAGGGGGUAAUCCAAGGCCAGCACACUACAUGCAAGCUUUUAGGGAUGCUCUUAUGGAUUGUGACCUUUCUGAUUUUGGGUAGACUGGUGACAAGUUUACGUGACAUAGGGGUGCGAUCAGAGAGAGACUAGAUAGGGAUUUGCUAAAUGAUUCGUGGAGUUUGAAGUUUGAAGGGGCUGUGCUCAAGCAUCUCGGCUAUGCCCGUUCUGACCAUAGGCCCAUUCUGAUGGAUACAGAAACCCAUGAAACACACUGA
Molecule: ribosomal RNA, 303 nt
Filed under: Triticum aestivum (bread wheat)
Lineage: Eukaryota; Viridiplantae; Streptophyta; Magnoliopsida; Poales; Poaceae
Description: partial small subunit ribosomal RNA
Source: RNAcentral